CCUACGGGGGGCUGCAGUGGGGAAUAUUGGACAAUGGGGGGAACCCUGAUCCAGCCAUGCCGCGUGUGUGAAGAAGGCCCUCGGGUUGUAAAGCACUUUCAGUGAGGAAGAACGCCUGGUGGUUAAUACCCAUCAGGAAAGACAUCACUCACAGAAGAAGCACCGGCUAACUCCGUGCCAGCAGCCGCGGUAAAACGGAGGGUGCGAGCGUUAAUCGGAAUUACUGGGCGUAAAGCGCGCGUAGGUGGCUUGAUAAGCCGGUUGUGAAAGCCCCGGGCUCAACCUGGGAACGGCAUCCGGAACUGUCAAGCUAGAGUGCAGGAGAGGAAGGUAGAAUUCCCGGUGUAGCGGUGAAAUGCGUAGAGAUCGGGAGGAAUACCAGUGGCGAAGGCGGCCUUCUGGACUGACACUGACACUGAGGUGCGAAAGCGUGGGUAGCAAACAGGAUUAGAUACCCGUGUAGUC
Molecule: ribosomal RNA, 465 nt
Filed under: Vreelandella stevensii
Lineage: Bacteria; Pseudomonadati; Pseudomonadota; Gammaproteobacteria; Oceanospirillales; Halomonadaceae
Description: partial 16S ribosomal RNA
Rfam family: Bacterial small subunit ribosomal RNA
Source: RNAcentral